CUCGAAGUCGCUGAGCACGAUCAUGGGGCGGCUGCCCACGAAGAGGCUGAAGACGCUGCCGUAGACCUUGGCCAUGCCGGUCAGGAGCAGGUGGAUUUUUCAUUGUCCUCUCCUGUCUUCUGAACCCGCGAAUAUUUUUUGCAUGAAGAUUUGAAGCAGCUGGGAGGCCAAGAUAUUGGCCAUGAGAAGCAGCAAGGAACUGAGCCUUGUAUAUUCUUCUCAAAGAAAUAAAAUAUCGGAUACCACCAUG
This is a long non-coding RNA of Malaclemys terrapin pileata, 250 nucleotides long. RefSeq lists it as uncharacterized. The transcript has 2 exons. Lineage: Eukaryota; Metazoa; Chordata; Testudines; Emydidae. The record is from RefSeq and is a predicted model, not a curated record.